Schistocerca cancellata (South American locust) is the source of this 2560-nucleotide RNA transcript. It is a transcript of the gene named speckle-type POZ protein-like, with no coding region annotated. The transcript is spliced from 7 exons. NCBI's taxonomy places the organism in Eukaryota, Metazoa, Arthropoda, Insecta, Orthoptera, Acrididae. The record is from RefSeq and is a predicted model, not a curated record.
UUUGUAUUUCUACUUGCUUGUUCUGCAAAUAUGUAGUUUGAGUGAUACAGAGCAUGAAAGAUCUAUCCAAGAGAUGCCCUUCUUUUUCUCUGUUUGUUGUGCUACAGUGCCUGAAAGUGCGAUACUAUAUAUUGUACCGUUUUAUUUAUUUAUUGUAUUUUGCAUGCGAGUCAUCAGUUGAGAUUUUUGCAAAUGUAACAUUUUUUUACAAAUUUCAUACAAACAGAGUAAAUGCAUUUUAUAUAUGCCUAAGUGACUACGUAUAAGCGUAAAUGCCUGCCUUCUGCCCCUCAGCGAAUGCUGUGAAGUGUUUCCUUCAGUUAAGAAGUCGAGUUGAACUCACGAGGGCUUAAAUCAGAGAUUUGUUUGAUUGAUGAAGCUGCUAAGUGCUACACCACCUACUGCACUUCCCUGAUUUAAGCCCUCAUGAGUUCAACUCUAUUUCUAAACUGAAGGAAACAGUUCAUGACAUUUGCUUCAGAACUGCUAUAAAUUCGUCGGGCAAUAGACCAUGCCGCUCAAACUGUCAACACAACUGGCACUGCUAAGAGUAUCCUAUGACUUCCACAUCACUGGCAAUGGGUUAUACACAAUGCUGGUGACUACUUUGAAGGAAAUAGGGUCUUUUGUGCAAUAAAAGUACUGGGCCUUGUCCAGAAACCAUGAGCUUCAAUUCAAACAACUAUCAUUCUUGUUGUACAGAUCAAGGGACUGUGACAACUGCUAUUGCAGAAGUAGCAGAAGAUAUAAAAAGUCCUCUGAACUAUUCAAGUGGGACAAAAUUUAAGAAUUGCUCAACUGCCAACACCUGGACUGUAAGGGGACUGAAGAGCUUGACUGCAGCAACAACCUGCAUCGAGUCCCUUCCAUUCAAGCACCAGAACUCCAGUACUUGGUGCAUGGUCCUUACAAGGGACGCAGAUGGACUUUAUCUGUCAUUUUUGCUGAAAGAGAGUCCAACUGAAAUGCUUCUGAGAGCAAAUGUAAGAGCAGACGAGAUUCUUCGUACUGGAGAAAAGCGAGAAGUGUUCCCGAGCACGUGGUAUGAUUUGGAUGAAGGAGAGAACACUGAAAUGCUGCUUGUUAGGAAAACUGAAACUGCAGGAGAGGGCGAUGACGAAGAUGAGAUAACCUUGCAGUGUGAAGUCUGCAUGCAGUGCAUUGUACAGGAUGAGCUACCUGUGGUAGACACGACAGAAGUACAAGCUGAUGUAGUAAGGGGUCUAUAUGAGAUGUUGCUCAAAGAAGUCCACACAGACUUUGAGCUUCAUGCAGAAGACACUGUUCUCAAGGCACACAGAGCACUACUGUCUGUACGGAGCCCUUACUUUGCUGACAUGCUGCAGCCUGACACAAAGGAAGCACAGGAAGGCUUCGCACAGGUCUCAGAUGUGAAGCCGGAGGUAUUGAAACAGGUUCUAUUGUAUAUGUACACGGGUGUUGCUCCGGCUCUCAAAGACAUGUCGUGGGACCUACUGAAAGCAGCUGACAAAUACCAACUCCGGCAGUUGAAGCGCCAGUGCGAAGCACACAUUGCCAAGUGUCUGAAUGUGGAAAAUGCUGCAGAAACUGCAGCCAAUGCCUCUGUUUUCUCGUGCGACAUGCUGUGGGACCGAGCCGUCCUUUUCAUCAAGCGCAACCUCAGUGAGGUGAUGUGCACGCCUGGAUGGACUGAAGCAGGAGCUACACAUCCGGAAGCCAUACAGCGUAUUAACGAGCUGAUGGAAUGAGCCAGUGAGAGAAUUUGGCUUUUCACUGUGGGCAUGACACUUCACCAGAUGACCAAGGGAAGCCUCCCAGAAACAUUGCUCGGACUGGGCAAUAUAGAACGACCAAUGAAACCUGCUCUUUGAGGGAGACUGCAUUGGACGAUGGACAACUGAAGGCACCAAUAGAUGUCUCUGCAGUGAAGGUGUCGUGAGUCUACACAACAGUAGCCAUUCUAGCAGAGGGAUUAAAUCAGCAGCUCUUUAUACCUUCAAGUGGCACUCAUUGCAAUUUUGGAACCGAUUACUGCAUUUUGUUACACCAUAACUGUGCUCCUACUAAGAUGAAGCUAUAACAUCAGCAGAUGGAAGACAGAAGAAACAGAAUUCAAAGGUGAUUUAGAGAGAUCCCCACGAAAUUCAUUUCCAGGAGUUCCAGGAAUAAUUUGGUAUGCAAUAAACGGGAACUCAGGACAUGUUAUUGAACACUGAACUCGGCUGACUUUAGUUUAGCACUAAUGACAAAUGAAGAAAUUCAUCAUAUGCUUUAUCAAGAUAAAUCAACUUUGAUAUUUCUUUCUUUUAAUAAUAUAAUAAUUCACUUCAGUCGUCUUCUGCACAACCAACACAUUUCUUAAUUACUGUUUCAAAUUACACCUUCAUCUCUAUUUUACUCAGAAAUGUCAUUCCAUUGUAAAAUGAAGAAAGUUAAGGAUGAAGUUCCCUUUUGAUAGUCCGUGGUCAACAAUUACUGUUUUGUGACCCAUUUUUUUAUUUUUUAAUGGAAAACAUUUGUAUUGUCCAAUGAAUUUAUAACUGAAAAAAUGUAACUAAAACCAAAUAAAUGUAAAACA